Molecule: ribosomal RNA, 497 nt
Filed under: uncultured bacterium
Lineage: Bacteria
Description: partial 16S ribosomal RNA
Rfam family: Bacterial small subunit ribosomal RNA
Source: RNAcentral
GAUGAACGCUGGCGGCGUGCCUAAUACAUGCAAGUCGAGCGAACAGAUGAGGAGCUUGCUCCUCUGACGUUAGCGGCGGACGGGUGAGUAACACGUGGAUAACCUACCUAUAAGACUGGGAUAACUUCGGGACACCGGAGCUAAUACCGGAUAAUAUAUUGAACCGCAUGGUUCAAUAGUGAAAGACGGUUUUGCUGUCACUUAUAGAUGGAUCCGCGCCGCAUUAGCUAGUUGGUAAGGUAACGGCUUACCAAGGCAACGAUGCGUAGCCGACCUGAGAGGGUGAUCGGCCACACUGGAACUGAGACACGGUCCAGACUCCUACGGGAGGCAGCAGUAGGGAAUCGUCCGCAAUGGGCGAAAGCCUGACGGAGCAGCGCCGCGUGAGUGAUGAAGGUCUUCGGAUCGUAAAACUCUGUUAUUAGGGAAGAACAAAUGUGUAAGUAACUAUGCACGUCUUGACGGUACCUAAUCAGAAAGCCACGGCUAACUACGUG